RNAcentral lists this ribosomal RNA (497 nucleotides) under uncultured bacterium. Its description in RNAcentral is "partial 16S ribosomal RNA". It matches the Rfam family "Bacterial small subunit ribosomal RNA", at positions 28 to 507 of the family's 1533-position model. The record is from RNAcentral.
GAUGAACGCUGGCGGCGUGCCUAAUACAUGCAAGUCGAGCGAACGGACGAGAAGCUUGCUUCUCUGAUGUUAGCGGCGGACGGGUGAGUAACACGUGGAUAACCUACCUAUAAGACUGGGAUAACUUCGGGAAACCGGAGCUAAUACCGGAUAAUAUUUUGAACCGCAUGGUUCAAAAGUGAAAGACGGUCUUGCUGUCACUUAUAGAUGGAUCCGCGCUGCAUUAGCUAGUUGGUAAGGUAACGGCUUACCAAGGCAACGAUGCAUAGCCGACCUGAGAGGGUGAUCGGCCACACUGGAACUGAGACACGGUCCAGACUCCUACGGGAGGCAGCAGUAGGGAAUCUUCCGCAAUGGGCGAAAGCCUGACGAAGCAACGCCGCGUGAGUGAUGAAGGUCUUCGGAUCGUAAAACUCUGUUAUUAGGGAAGAACAUAUGUGUAAGUAACUGUGCACAUCUUGACGGUACCUAAUCAGAAAGCCACGGCUAACUACGUG